RNAcentral lists this ribosomal RNA (441 nucleotides) under uncultured bacterium. RNAcentral describes it as "partial 16S ribosomal RNA". It matches the Rfam family "Bacterial small subunit ribosomal RNA", at positions 338 to 795 of the family's 1533-position model. The record is from RNAcentral.
CCUACGGGGGGCAGCAGUGGGGAAUAUUGCACAAUGGGGGAAACCCUGAUGCAGCGACGCCGCGUGAGUGAAGAAGUAUUUCGGUAUGUAAAGCUCUAUCAGCAGGGAAGAAGAAAGACGGUACCUGACUAAGAAGCCCCGGCUAACUACGGGCCAGCAGCCGCGGUAAUACGUAGGGGGCGAGCGUUAUCCGGAGUUACUGGGUGUAAAGGGAGCGUAGACGGCUGUUCAAGUCUGAAGUGAAAGCCCAGGGCUCAACCCUGGGACUGCUUUGGAAACUGUGGAGCUAGAGGGCUUGAGAGGUAAGUGGAAUUCCUAGUGUAGCGGUGAAAUGCGUAGAUAUUAGGAGGAACACCAGUGGCGAAGGCGGCUUACUGGACAGUAACUGACGUUGAGGCUCGAAAGCGUGGGGAGCAAACAGGAUUAGAUACCCCAGUAGUC